RNAcentral lists this ribosomal RNA (254 nucleotides) under uncultured bacterium. Its description in RNAcentral is "partial 16S ribosomal RNA". It matches the Rfam family "Bacterial small subunit ribosomal RNA", at positions 524 to 776 of the family's 1533-position model. The record is from RNAcentral.
UACGUAGGGUGCGAGCGUUGUCCGGAAUUAUUGGGCGUAAAGAGCUCGUAGGCGGUGUGUCACGUCGGCCGUGAAAACCUGCAGCUUAACUGUGGGCGUGCGGUCGAUACGAGCAUCACUGGAGUUCGGCAGGGGAGACUGGAAUUCCUGGUGUAGCGGUGAAAUGCGCAGAUAUCAGGAGGUACACCGGUGGCGAAGGCGGGUCUCUGGGCCGAUACUGACGCUGAGGAGCGAAAGCGUGGGGAGCAAACAGG